UUUGAUCCUGGCUCAGAACGUACGCUGGCGGCACGCCUAACACAUGCAAGUCGAACGAAGUAGCAAUACUUAGUGGCAGACGGGUGAGUAACAUGUGGGUAUCUACCCUUUGGCCUGGAAUAACACGAGGAAACUUGUGCUAAUACCGGAUAAGUCUUUACGGAGAAAGCUUUAUGCACCAUUGGAUGAGCCCGCACUUGAUUAGUUUGUUGGUGGGGUAAUGGCCUACCAAGACUAUGAUCAAUAGCUGAUUUGAGAGGAUGAUCAGCCACAUUGGAACUGAGACACGGCCCAAACUCCUACGGGAGGCAGCAGUGGGGAAUCUUGCACAAUGGAGGAAACUCUGAUGCAGCGAUGCCGCGUGAGUGAAGAAGGCCCUUGGGUUGUAAAGCUCUUUCGUCGGGGAAGAAAAUGACUGUACCCGAAUAAGAAGGUCCGGCUAACUUCGUGCCAGCAGCCGCGGUAAUA
This 468-nucleotide ribosomal RNA is filed under the name uncultured Alphaproteobacteria bacterium. RNAcentral's name for it is "bacterial SSU rRNA". It matches the Rfam family "Bacterial small subunit ribosomal RNA", at positions 12 to 525 of the family's 1533-position model. Lineage: Bacteria; Pseudomonadati; Pseudomonadota; Alphaproteobacteria. The record is from RNAcentral.